RNAcentral lists this ribosomal RNA (497 nucleotides) under uncultured bacterium. RNAcentral describes it as "bacterial SSU rRNA". It matches the Rfam family "Bacterial small subunit ribosomal RNA", at positions 27 to 507 of the family's 1533-position model. The record is from RNAcentral.
CGGACGAACGCUGGCGGCGUGCCUAACACAUGCAAGUCGAACGGUCCGGCACUCAACCGACCCUCAGUCUAGCUGUAGGUGAAGUUGAGUGCCGGAUAGUGGCGGACGGGUGAGUAACGCGUGGGCAACCAACCCUGUACAGUGGGAUAACACCGGGAAACCGGUGCUAAUACCGCAUGACACCUAGAUGGUGCAUACUGUUUAGGUUAAAGGAUUUAACCGGUACAGGACGGGCCCGCGUCCCAUUAGCUGGUUGGUGAGGUAACGGCUCACCAAGGCAACGAUGGGUAGCCGACCUGAGAGGGUGACCGGCCACACUGGGACUGAGACACGGCCCAGACUCCUACGGGAGGCAGCAGUGGGGAAUAUUGCGCAAUGGACGGAAGUCUGACGCAGCGACGCCGCGUGAGCGAAGAAGGCCUUCGGGUCGUAAAGCUCUGUUCUUGGGGACGAAUAAGAUGACGGUACCCAAGGAGAAAGCCCCGGCUAACUACGUG